Long non-coding RNA from Conger conger (European conger), 770 nucleotides. RefSeq lists it as uncharacterized. The transcript is spliced from 2 exons. Lineage: Eukaryota; Metazoa; Chordata; Actinopteri; Anguilliformes; Congridae. The record is from RefSeq and is a predicted model, not a curated record.
UCAGAGCUCCUCUAACUGUGUGUGACAGGAUUUGUAUAGAGGAAGGGGCUUUGCAUACCUGUCCUGCCUCACUGCUCCACACACUUUAAGACCCCUAGUACUGAUCAGUGACUGUCCAGUCCAUUCACAGACACUGACACAGGCAGCAUUAUAAUGAUGUCAGUCCUUCUACUGCUGGUGAUUCUGGGACUUGUUGUACAGGAAUCAAUGGCAGAUAUAGUUGUGACUCAGUCUCCAUCAGCUCAGGCUGUUCAGCAGGGACACACUGUCUCUAUCAGCUGUACAGUCAGUCAGAGUGUUUUUGUUUAUUCCGACGGUGAUUCUGCUCUCUACUGGUACCUGCAGAAACCUGGUCAGGCUCCUAAACUUCUGAUUAAGUAUGCUACAACACGCGAGUCUGGGAUUCCUGAUCGUUUCAGUGGGAGUGGAUCUGGGACUCAGUUUACACUGAAAAUCACUGGAGUCCAGGCUGAAGAUGCAGGAGAUUAUUACUGUCAGAGUGUACACAGCAUCAGUGGUAGCAGGGUGUUCACACAGUGAUACAGAGCCGUACAAAAACCUCCCUCAGUCAGACUGCACAGAGACUGCACUGCUGCAGCUGGGACCUACUGCAGGUGCUGAGGGGGGAGGCACUGAUCUGUAACACUCAGCGGCUCUGCUCUAAAACAUUGAGUUUUGUUGUGCAAUAAGGACUGUAAUUUUUAUUGAAUCAAAUUUAAUGCUAUUUCUCUCAAUGUUAAUGUCAGCACAUUAAAAUCUUCCUCUUACUA